UUCCUGAUAGCUCAGUUGGUAAAGAAUCUGUCUGCAACGCAGGAGACCCCAGUUCAAUUCCUGGGUCAGGAA
RNAcentral lists this transfer RNA (72 nucleotides) under Ovis aries (sheep). It matches the Rfam family "tRNA". From Rfam's summary of the family: Transfer RNA (tRNA) molecules are approximately 80 nucleotides in length. The record is from Rfam by way of RNAcentral. Lineage: Eukaryota; Metazoa; Chordata; Mammalia; Artiodactyla; Bovidae.